CAUACAAGCUAGGGGUGCUCUGAUGAGCUGAGAUGGUGGUUGCCAGACCCUUUGAACCUGAGAGUUAGCACUCACGUAGGAAAGCUGAUUGAACGUGUG
This 99-nucleotide non-coding RNA is filed under the name Secundilactobacillus mixtipabuli. Its description in RNAcentral is "Lactobacillus mixtipabuli TPP sequence". It matches the Rfam family "TPP riboswitch aptamer (THI element)". From Rfam's summary of the family: Vitamin B(1) in its active form thiamin pyrophosphate (TPP) is an essential coenzyme that is synthesised by coupling of pyrimidine and thiazole moieties in bacteria. The previously detected thiamin-regulatory element, thi box was extended, resulting in a new, highly conserved RNA secondary structure, the THI element, which is widely distributed in eubacteria and also occurs in some archaea. Analysis of operon structures identified a large number of new candidate thiamin-regulated genes, mostly transporters, in various prokaryotic organisms. The record is from Rfam by way of RNAcentral. Lineage: Bacteria; Bacillati; Bacillota; Bacilli; Lactobacillales; Lactobacillaceae.